GAUGAACGCUGGCGGCGUGCCUAAUACAUGCAAGUCGAGCGAACGGACGAGAAGCUUGCUUCUCUGAUGUUAGCGGCGGACGGGUGAGUAACACGUGGAUAACCUACCUAUAAGACUGGGAUAACUUCGGGAAACCGGAGCUAAUACCGGGUAAUAUUUUGAACCGCAUGGUUCAAAAGUGAAAGACGGUCUUGCCGUCACUUCUAGAUGGAUCCGCGUUGCAUUAGCUAGUUGGUAAGGUAACGGCUUACCAAGGCAACGAUGCACAGCCGACCUGGGAGGGUGAUCGCCCACACUGGAACUGCGACACGGUCCAGACUCCUACGGGAGGCAGCAGUAGGGAAUCUUCCGCAAUGGGCGAAAGCCUAACGAAGCAACGCCGCGUGCGUGAUGAAAGUCUUCGGAUCGUAAAACUCUGUUAUUAGGGAAGAACAUAUGUGUAAGUAACUGUGCACAUCUUGACGGUACCUAAUCAGAAAGCCACGGCUAACUACGUG
RNAcentral lists this ribosomal RNA (497 nucleotides) under uncultured bacterium. RNAcentral's name for it is "partial 16S ribosomal RNA". It matches the Rfam family "Bacterial small subunit ribosomal RNA", at positions 28 to 507 of the family's 1533-position model. The record is from RNAcentral.